AGUGAACGCUGGCGGUAGGCCUAACACAUGCAAGUCGAACGGCAGCACAGUAAGAGCUUGCUCUUACGGGUGGCGAGUGGCGGACGGGUGAGGAAUACAUCGGAAUCUACUUUUUCGUGGGGGAUAACGUAGGGAAACUUACGCUAAUACCGCAUACGACCUACGGGUGAAAGCAGGGGAUCUUCGGACCUUGCGCGAUUGAAUGAGCCGAUGUCGGAUUAGCUAGUUGGCGGGGUAAAGGCCCACCAAGGCGACGAUCCGUAGCUGGUCUGAGAGGAUGAUCAGCCACACUGGACAUGAGACACGGUCCAGACUCCUACGGGAGGCAGCAGUGGGGAAUAUUGGACAAUGGGCGCAAGCCUGAUCCAGCCAUACCGCGUGGGUGAAGAAGGCCUUCGGGUUGUAAAGCCCUUUUGUUGGGAAAGAAAAGCAGCAGGUUAAUACCCCGCUGUUCUGACGGGACCCAAAGAAUAAGCACCGGCUAACUUCGU
Molecule: ribosomal RNA, 491 nt
Filed under: uncultured bacterium
Lineage: Bacteria
Description: partial 16S ribosomal RNA
Rfam family: Bacterial small subunit ribosomal RNA
Source: RNAcentral